GAAAUAUAUUAUUAGGGGGAGGCUGCUAACUUCUUACUCUUAGCGGUGAAAUUCCGUUAAUAUUUCU
Molecule: transfer RNA, 67 nt
Filed under: Neoasterolepisma foreli
Lineage: Eukaryota; Metazoa; Arthropoda; Insecta; Zygentoma; Lepismatidae
Description: tRNA-Ser
Source: RNAcentral